GCAGACUUCCAGUGUUGGGAGGAACAUUAUGUGCCAAUGAGCUCCUAGUCAACAAAGGUGAGCAAACCCCUGGUGAGGGCACAACCAGGAGGAUGCAGGCAUCUGCUGGAGAAAUGGGCCAGUACCCCAAUGUCCAUGAUGCCUAAUUUCCCCCUUCUCAAUUCUUUGGCUCUCACUCACUGGGGCCUCUGUUUUCCAAAGCAGCAAGCAGCCUGCGUGUUCUGUCCAAAGGGACCUUGGUGGGAGCAGAGAGCCCAGACCACUCAGGUGAACAUGGAAGAAUGGAAGGAACAUCUGCAACACAGAGAUGGCAUGCACUGGACACAAAGUGGAGAGAGGAAUCUAAGCGCCUGGACCGGUAAACUCAUCUCUAGAGAGAGCCGGGAUGGGCGUGAAGAGUCCGAAAGUUCCCCCAGUGUGGCUACUGGAGCCAGGCGGAGACCAAGAAGGAGCAAUCGGGCAGGCAGAGGAAGGAAAGUCCGUCUUGCAGGCCGAUGGGCGCUCUCAUGUCUACAGCUGCAGGGAAACCAGAUUCGGCCUCUCCUGCCACCCUCGUACCUUAAUCUUCACUCUCCUGGAUCCUCUCUCUCCUAUUUAUUCCAUCUGUUUUCUCUUUCCCAGUCUGUGCCUCUCUCCUUGGGCUCUGUCUCUGGGCCCUGUCUCUGGGCCUCCCCCUGCACCCUCCCUGCUCAGCCCUGUCAGCCAGGCCCAGGCCCCCAGGACGCGGGAUCCCCAGCAGCCACCGGCACGUGCCAAUCUUCGCCCUGGCGGAGGCGUCUCCAUGGGCCGCGGGCCCCGUGGCGCGCCUCCUGCCCGCGUAAUGCGCUCUAAUAUUUAUUUACAUGCCUUUCAGACUAUUAUUUAUUAAAGUAUCGCUGCCAAC
This 883-nucleotide long non-coding RNA is filed under the name Heterocephalus glaber (naked mole-rat). Its description in RNAcentral is "lncRNA (ENSHGLG00000028464.2)". The record is from RNAcentral. Lineage: Eukaryota; Metazoa; Chordata; Mammalia; Rodentia; Bathyergidae.